UACAGAGACCUCAAGCGUUUAUCCGGAAUCAUUGGGCGUAAAGCGUACCGAUCGGUGGUUAAGAAAGUCAGAAGUGAAAUCUCUCAGCUUAACUGGGAGACUGUCUUUUGAAACUUCUUAAAGCUCGAGGGGCAAAGAGGAAGCUGGAACGAACGGUGUAGUAGUGAAAUGCGUUGAUAUCGUUCGGAACACCAAUAGCGAAGGCAGGCUUCUGGGUGCCACCUGACACUGCUAGGACGAAAGCGUGGGGAGCGAAUGGG
This 260-nucleotide ribosomal RNA is filed under the name uncultured bacterium. RNAcentral describes it as "partial 16S ribosomal RNA". It matches the Rfam family "Bacterial small subunit ribosomal RNA", at positions 524 to 776 of the family's 1533-position model. The record is from RNAcentral.